This 253-nucleotide ribosomal RNA is filed under the name uncultured bacterium. Its description in RNAcentral is "partial 16S ribosomal RNA". It matches the Rfam family "Bacterial small subunit ribosomal RNA", at positions 524 to 776 of the family's 1533-position model. The record is from RNAcentral.
UACGUAGGGUGCAAGCGUUGUCCGGAAUUAUUGGGCGUAAAGAGCUUGUAGGCGGUUUGUCGCGUCUGCUGUGAAAUUUCGGGGCUCAACCCCGAACUUGCAGUGGGUACGGGCAGACUAGAGUGUGGUAGGGGAGACUGGAAUUCCUGGUGUAGCGGUGAAAUGCGUAGAUAUCAGGAGGAACACCGGUGGCGAAGGCGGAUUUCUGGACCAGUUCUGACACUGAUGAGCGAAAGCCAGGGGAGCAAACAGG